GCACCCGUAGCUCAGAUGGAUAGAGCGCUGGCCUCCGAAGCCAGAGGUCACAGGUUCGAUUCCUGUCGGGUGCGCCA
RNAcentral lists this transfer RNA (77 nucleotides) under Deltaproteobacteria bacterium. RNAcentral describes it as "tRNA-Arg". It matches the Rfam family "tRNA". From Rfam's summary of the family: Transfer RNA (tRNA) molecules are approximately 80 nucleotides in length. Their secondary structure includes four short double-helical elements and three loops (D, anti-codon, and T loops). Lineage: Bacteria; Pseudomonadati; Myxococcota; Myxococcia. The record is from RNAcentral.